GCCCCAGUAGCUCAGUGGAUAGAGCACGGCUCUCCUAAAGCCGGUGUCGGAGGUUCGAAUCCUCUCUGGGGCA
This 73-nucleotide transfer RNA is filed under the name Corynebacterium sp. RNAcentral describes it as "tRNA-Arg". It matches the Rfam family "tRNA". Rfam says of the family: Transfer RNA (tRNA) molecules are approximately 80 nucleotides in length. The record is from RNAcentral. RNAcentral also lists the same sequence under 2 other names. Lineage: Bacteria; Bacillati; Actinomycetota; Actinomycetes; Mycobacteriales; Corynebacteriaceae.